AAACACUUAAUAGAAAGGACUGUGUCAUAUGUGGACAUGCCAGACCUAUUCUGGCUGCUCACCCAUUUGCCCUAAGUAAUGGGGAAGGUUGGAUGUGCAUAUUGGAAAGUUUAAGCCAAAUUCAACCCUGGGUAAAACUCUGAGUCUUGUGUUCCCAGAAGUCCCUCCCCAGAAGGUACCGUGGGGAGUUAAGGCAUAUGGGGGAUAUUACAGCUGUAUCACUGGUACAGGUAGGGGUAUAGACUAUGGGAGGCUCCCUACUACUGCCUGCAUCACUAAUGUCACUAUUAACUAGAGMUGUUGCUGAUGUAUGGUGGAUGUGUGGACCUGCCAGGCGGUUGACCCCAUUUUGAAAGGAGAUUGUCAGGGCACAUGUGCUUUGGCCAGUCUGAUAACACCAUUGACUAUUAUUGAGGUUGCAGCUAACCACCUCCUGGGAUCUGCACAUGACACAGAGGCUCGGGACCAAKCUAGGAGACGGCAGAACCGUGACGCUCCUUGGUCCGAGGGUACAGAUAACAUCCACACCAACCUGGUGGGYGUCCCAAUAGGGGUCCCCCACGAAUUCCAGACAUUAAACAGAAAUGAUGGUCUGUGGCAUCUGAUGCCCACCAUUGGCCCAGCUAUUGUUGAUACUAAACAAAAUGCCUGGAUCAAUUAUCUUUAUUAUAAUUAACAGCGAUUUGUUAACUACACCCACACAGCACUUACGGGGAUGGCUGAACGAUUGGAUGCUACCUCUCAAACCAGUAGACAAAAUAGACUAGAACUGGACAUGAUUCUGGCCAACCAGGGAGGUGUAUGUAAAAUGAUUGGAGAACAGUGUUGCACGUUUGUCCCUAACAAUACUAGUCCGGAUGGGAGCAUUU
This is a long non-coding RNA of Salvelinus sp. IW2-2015, 869 nucleotides long. RefSeq lists it as uncharacterized. The record is from RefSeq and is a predicted model, not a curated record. NCBI's taxonomy places the organism in Eukaryota, Metazoa, Chordata, Actinopteri, Salmoniformes, Salmonidae.